This 950-nucleotide ribosomal RNA is filed under the name uncultured archaeon. RNAcentral's name for it is "bacterial SSU rRNA". It matches the Rfam family "Archaeal small subunit ribosomal RNA", at positions 1 to 938 of the family's 1478-position model. The record is from RNAcentral.
UUCCGGUUGAUCCUGCCGGACCCGACUGCUAUUUGGGUGAGGAUAAGCCAUGCGAGUCGAAUGGGAUACCUAAAUUUCCCAUGGCGAACUGCUCAGUAACACAUGAUCAACUUAACCUAUUGAGAAAGAUAACCUCGGGAAACUGAGGAUAAUAUUUCAUAGUUGAAUUGGCUUGGAAAAGUUUUUCAACAAAAGGGAUAAGGAAAAUGGUCCUUAUCUGCUAUAGGAUAGGAUCGUGUUCGAUUAUGGUAGUUGGUGAGGUAAAGGCUCACCAAGCCGAUAAUCGAUAGGGGCCGUGAGAGCGGGAGCCCCGAGAUGGGUACUGAGACAACGACCCAGGCCUUACGAGGCGCAGCAGGUACGAAACCUCCACAAUACACGAAAGUGUGAUGGGGUUACCCAAAGUGUUCAUUAUUGAACUGUGGUAGGAGAGUAAUGUCCCCUACUAGAAAGGAGAGGGCAAGGCUGGUGCCAGCCGCCGCGGUAAAACCAGCUCUUCAAGUGGUCGGGAUAAUUAUUGGGCUUAAAGUGUCCGUAACCGGUUUAGUAAGUUCCUGGUAAAAUCGGGUAGCUUAACUAUCUGUAUGCUAGGAAUACUGCUAUACUAGAGGGCGGGAGAGGUCUGAGGUACUACAGGGGUAGGGGUGAAAUCUUAUAAUCCUUGUAGGACCACCAGUGGCGAAGGCGUCAGACUGGAACGCGCCUGACGGUGAGGGACGAAAGCCAGGGGAGCGAACCGGAUUAGAUACCCGGGUAGUCCUGGCCGUAAACGAUGCAUACUAGGUGAUGGUACGGCUAUGAGCCAUAUCAGUGCCGUAGGGAAACCGUUAAGUGUGCCGCCUGGGAAGUACGGUCGCAAGGCUAAAACUUAAAGGAAUUGGCGGGGGAGCACCACAAGGGGUGAAGCCUGCGGUUUAAUUGGAUUCAACGCCGGGAAAUCACUAGUGCGG